CUGCGUGACGAAGCGCGCGCUAAAGUAGACAAUAAAGCCUAAGGUAUACACGAGUCGCCAGACGCCGGCCAAGCCGGCGUUUUUUA
RNAcentral lists this small RNA (86 nucleotides) under Klebsiella sp. BIGb0399. RNAcentral describes it as "Raoultella sp. BIGb0399 sroD RNA". It matches the Rfam family "sroD RNA". From Rfam's summary of the family: This family consists of a number of bacterial sroD RNA genes of around 90 bases in length. sroD is found in several Enterobacterial species but its function is unknown. The record is from RNAcentral. Lineage: Bacteria; Pseudomonadati; Pseudomonadota; Gammaproteobacteria; Enterobacterales; Enterobacteriaceae.